GCCAUCUUUCAAUUUAAUUUUAUAACUUAAUUUAUACAGAAUAUUGCAUGAAAAUGUAAAUUUAAAAAGACAUACAUAAGAAUACAUAUGUUUUACAACACCCACGGGCAGAAAUUAAGAAAAAAAGUGCCUAUUCUAAGCUACGCUCCAAAAACCCGCCUUUUCCCAGAGAACGCGUCAUAUGACGUAACGACAGGCAAACAUAGGCGCUGCAGCCUUGGUUCUCAGUGUGGGUUUACGUAGUCUGAGAGGUGGAAACAGAAAAUAGAGAUUGUCGUUCUCGUUAUUAUAGUUAUAGUAGGUUUGAGUUGUCACAAUGGUGAAUUCUUGUGUUUGUUUUGGAUGCAACAACUCCAACUUGUCUGGCCAUCGGGUCCACCGAUUUCCAAACAAGAAACACAAAGAUUUCCGUGCUUGGAUACGUUUCUUCCAGGCAAAGAGAAGCAAUUUCGCUGCCUCCUCGUUGACAAGACACACGGUGGUAUGUGAAAAACACUUCACACCGGACAGCUACAACCAAGGAGAUCUUAUGGAAUUUCGCAUGGGAUUUCGACGAAAAGAGUGGGUUAGGCUGGCAAAUGGAGCUGUGCCAUCGGUGCAUGCAGGUCCACCUGCAAAAUCUGGCGGGAGUGAAGAGUCUAACGUUAAUGUUAGCACUAGGAGAGAAUCUGCGCGUCGAAAAAGGGAGCUUUGCACAGCCUGCGGAACUUGUGGUUAUGAGCGUUACUGGCAAAACCAAGAGAAGGUGCAUCGAAACAUGCCUGCCUGCAACCUUUUACUCAGCGGUGCCAUCCACUUCUCAGGUUGCAUGGCUUCUCAGACAAUCAGGAUGCUGAAGCUGUUUGGACUGCAGUGCAUAAGUCCUGGCACUUUUUUCUGCCAUCAGGGCUAUUACUCUAUCCCUACCAUCAUGCAGGCCUGGAGGAAUGAGCAGAGGGGGAUCAUCAGGGAGUUGAAGGAGACUGGGGGUGGAUUGAUCCUGUCUGGUGAUUGCAGGUAGAUUGGUCCAGCUCACGUCACGGAUGUAGAACAGGUCAAUGUGUUUUUGCAUUAACCUAUAAAUGUAAUGUUAUGUAAAUGUAAUGUUUUUGACGUUCUUAGAUCAGAUUCUCCUGGACACUGUGCCAAAUACGGUAGUUACUCCUUGAUUGAGGAUCGAAUUAACAAAGUUUUGGAUGUUCAGCUUGUCCAAAGCUCAGAAGUCCCAAGCAGCUCUUGGUGUGAGCUAGAGGGUCUAAAGCGGAGUAUGCAGUUCCUGAUGGACCAAGACAUGCAAGUGGCAGGUGGCCAAGUGGGUACGUGAGAAAAUGUGUUCAGAAGGAACAAGGCAUUUCUUUGACGUCUGGCAUAUUGGGAAAAGUGUACAGAAAGCACUGGAUGCUGCUGCAAAAGAGAGGGACUGUGAGGAUCUGAAGCUGUGGAGGCCAGCCAUCAUCAACCAUCUCUACUGGACCGCAGCUUCCACCCCUACAGGAGAUCCAGAUGAGAUGCAGGCAAAAUGUACAGGACAUACAUGAACACAGCACUCCUGCAUUUGCCAGCUGCGCACAUCCACCGUUGGAAGGAGAGGCAAGAAACAAGGAGUGGCUGGAACCAGGAUCACCAGCACCCACUAAACUGGAGAGUGUAGCUGCCAGGAAAGCACUGGUAAAGGAUAUUCGACAAUUGUCACCUCAGCAUCAGACAUUCUCCCUGGAGGCCUACCAUUCCCUCAUUCUGCACUUUGCUCCCAAACAUACUGGCUUUUCUUUUACAGCAGACUUCUCUUGGCAGCCCUACAUUUCAAUAGUAAUGGCAACAGAGAUGUAGCGCGAACUAGUGAGGGUGAGGGACGCUACGCUGUUCGCUACCCACGGUUUCGGAAAGGUGGCUGGGUAGUCCACCCCAUCAAGGAGAAACCAUCUUACGUAUACGCAACAAAUCUUAUGGUCUCUCUGGUAGAGGAAUACUGCAAGACACCGCAGGCCCUCUGCUGCACCGCCCCCCUCACCUCUUCCGUCCAGAAGGUUGCCAAGGAUGAGGCAGUCAGCCUCCAUCUCGCACGACACUCACGUUUUAACAUGUAAUAAAAGAUCAAUUUUACCAGUA
Molecule: long non-coding RNA, 2088 nt
Organism: Carassius gibelio (silver crucian carp)
Lineage: Eukaryota; Metazoa; Chordata; Actinopteri; Cypriniformes; Cyprinidae
Exons: 8
Source: RefSeq, a predicted model, not a curated record